RNAcentral lists this ribosomal RNA (253 nucleotides) under uncultured prokaryote. Its description in RNAcentral is "partial 16S ribosomal RNA". It matches the Rfam family "Bacterial small subunit ribosomal RNA", at positions 525 to 777 of the family's 1533-position model. The record is from RNAcentral.
ACGAAGGGUGCUAGCGUUGUUCGGAAUCACUGGGCGUAAAGCGUGCGUAGGCGGCUUUGCAAGUCAGGGGUGAAAGCCCACAGCUCAACUGUGGAAUUGCCUUUGAAACUGCAUGGCUGGAGUGUCGGAGGGGAUAGCGGAAUUCCUAAUGUAGUGGUGAAAUACGUAGAUAUUAGGAGGAACACCGGUGGCGAAGGCGGCUAUCUGGACGACAACUGACGCUGAGGCACGAAAGCGUGGGGAUCAAACAGGA